AGUGAACGCUAGCGGUAGGCCUAACGCAUGCAAGUCGAACGGCAGCACAGUAAGAGCUUGCUCUUACGGGUGGCGAGUGGCGGACGGGUGAGGAAUACAUCGGAAUCUACUUUUUCGUGGGGGAUAACGUAGGGAAACUUACGCUAAUACCGCAUACGACCUACGGGUGAAAGCAGGGGAUCUUCGGACCUUGCGCGAUUGAAUGAGCCGAUGUCGGAUUAGCUAGUUGGCGGGGUAAAGGCCCACCAAGGCGACGAUCCGUAGCUGGUCUGAGAGGAUGAUCAGCCACACUGGAACUGAGACACGGUCCAGACUCCUACGGGAGGCAGCAGUGGGGAAUAUUGGACAAUGGGCGCAAGCCUGAUCCAGCCAUACCGCGUGGGUGAAGAAGGCCUUCGGGUUGUAAAGCCCUUUUGUUGGGAAAGAAAAGCAGCAGGUUAAUACCCCGCUGUUCUGACGGUACCCAAAGAAUAAGCACCGGCUAACUUCGUG
Molecule: ribosomal RNA, 492 nt
Filed under: uncultured bacterium
Lineage: Bacteria
Description: partial 16S ribosomal RNA
Rfam family: Bacterial small subunit ribosomal RNA
Source: RNAcentral